GCCUUCGUGGUGUAGCGGUUAACACGCUCGACGCGUAACCUAGAUUUCUACGGUUCGAUUCCCGGCGAAGGCG
This 73-nucleotide transfer RNA is filed under the name Stegodyphus mimosarum. It matches the Rfam family "tRNA". Rfam says of the family: Transfer RNA (tRNA) molecules are approximately 80 nucleotides in length. Their secondary structure includes four short double-helical elements and three loops (D, anti-codon, and T loops). Lineage: Eukaryota; Metazoa; Arthropoda; Arachnida; Araneae; Eresidae. The record is from Rfam by way of RNAcentral.